Molecule: ribosomal RNA, 466 nt
Filed under: uncultured bacterium
Lineage: Bacteria
Description: partial 16S ribosomal RNA
Rfam family: Bacterial small subunit ribosomal RNA
Source: RNAcentral
GACGAACGCUGGCGGCGCGCCUAACACAUGCCAGUCGAACGAGCGAGCGAGAGCUUGCUUUCUCGAGCGAGUGGCGAACGGGUGAGUAACGCGUGAGGAACCUGCCUCAAAGAGGGGGACAACAGUUGGAAACGACUGCUAAUACCGCAUAAGCCCACGGCUCGGCAUCGAGCAGGGGGAAAAGGAGCAAUCCGCUUUGAGAUGGCCUCGCGUCCGAUUAGCUAGUUGGUGGGGUAACGGGCCACCAAGGCGACGAUCGGUAGCCGGACUGAGAGGUUGAACGGCCACAUUGGGACGGAGACACGGCCCAGACUCCUACGGGAGGCAGCAGUGGGGAAUAUUGCACAAUGGGGGGAACCCUGAUGCAGCGACGCCGGGUGGAGGAAGAAGGUCUUCGGAUUGUAAACUCCUGUUGUUGGGGAAGAUAAUGACGGUACCCAACAAGGAAGUGACGGCUAACUACGUG